AGAGUUUGAUCAUGGCUCAGGAUAAACGCUGGCGGCGUGCCUAAAACAUGCAAGUCGUACGGGCAUCUUCGGAUGUCAGUGGCGGACGGCUGAGUAACACGUGGGUGACCUACCUCCGAGCGGGGGACAACUGCCCGAAAGGGUAGCUAAUACCGCAGACGUCAUCGGGUCGGACCGGUGACUAAACCCGCAAGGGGCUUGGAGAGGGGCCCGCGGCCGAUUAGCUAGUUGGUGGGGUAAAGGCCUACCAAGGCUUCGAUCGGUAGCUGGUCUGAGAGGAUGAUCAGCCAGACUGGGACUGCGACACGGCCCAGACUCCUACGGGAGGCAGCAGUUAGGAAUUUUGGGCAAUGGGGGAAACCCUGACCCAGCAACGCCGCGUGGGUGACGAAGGCCUUCGGGUCGUAAAGCCCUUUUCCAGGGGAAGAUAGUGACGGUACCCUGGGAAUAAGCCCCGGCUAACUACGUGCCAGCAGCCGCGGUAAUACGUAGGGGGCGAGCGUUGUCCGGAUUUAUUGGGCGUAAAGGGCUCGCAGGCGGCCUGACCAAGUCGUGCGUGAAAUCUCUCGGCUUAACUGAGAGCGGUCGCGCGAUACUGGUCGGCUCGAGGCCGGUAGGGGGAAGCGGAAUUCCGGGUGUAGUGGUGGAAUGCAUAGAUAUCCGGAGGAACACCAGUGGCGAAGGCGGCUUCCUGGACCGGUCCUGACGCUCAGGAGCGAAAGCGUGGGUAGCGAUCCGGAUUAGAUACCCCGGUAGUCC
RNAcentral lists this ribosomal RNA (759 nucleotides) under uncultured soil bacterium. RNAcentral's name for it is "bacterial SSU rRNA". It matches the Rfam family "Bacterial small subunit ribosomal RNA", at positions 8 to 796 of the family's 1533-position model. The record is from RNAcentral.